UACGGGGGGAGCAAGCGUUGUUCGGAUUUACUGGGCGUAAAGGGCGCGUAGGCGGCCACCGCAAGUCGACUGUGAAAUCUCCGGGCUUAACCCGGAAAGGUCAGCCGAUACUGCGGGGCUAGAGUGCAGAAGGGGCAACUGGAAUUCUCGGUGUAGCGGUGAAAUGCGUAGAUAUCGAGAGGAACACCAGUGGCGAAGGCGAGUCUCUGGACGACACCUGACGCUGAGGCACGAAAGUCAGGGGAGCAAACGGG
This 254-nucleotide ribosomal RNA is filed under the name uncultured bacterium. RNAcentral's name for it is "partial 16S ribosomal RNA". It matches the Rfam family "Bacterial small subunit ribosomal RNA", at positions 524 to 776 of the family's 1533-position model. The record is from RNAcentral.